UAGAUUUUUAUCCAGGUCUUUGAUUUGGUGU
RNAcentral lists this non-coding RNA (31 nucleotides) under Rattus norvegicus (Norway rat). Lineage: Eukaryota; Metazoa; Chordata; Mammalia; Rodentia; Muridae. The record is from RNAcentral.